Molecule: ribosomal RNA, 467 nt
Filed under: uncultured bacterium
Lineage: Bacteria
Description: partial 16S ribosomal RNA
Rfam family: Bacterial small subunit ribosomal RNA
Source: RNAcentral
GACGAACGCUGGCGGCGUGCUUAACACAUGCAAGUCGAACGGAAAGGCCUCUUUCGGGGGGUACUCGAGUGGUGAACGGGUGAGUAACACGUGAGUAACCUGCCCUUGACUUUGGGAUAACUUCAGAAAACUGGGGCUAAUACCGGAUAGGAGCUCCUGCUGCAUGGUGGGGGUUGGAAAGUUUCGGCGUUUGGGGAUGGACUCGCGGCUUAUCAGCUUGUUGGUGGGGUAAUGGCUUACCAGGGCUUUGGCGGGUAGCCGGCCUGAGAGGGUGACCGGCAACAUUGGGACUGGGAUACGGCCCAGACUCCUACGGGUGGCAGCAGUGGGGAAUAGUGCACAAUGGGUGGAAGCCUGAUGCAGCAACGCCGUGGGCGGGAGGACGGCCUUCGGGUUGUAAACCGCUUUCGCUCAUGACGAAGCUUUGUGUGACGGUAGUGGGUAAAGAAGCACCGGCUAACUACGUG